CUGGAGGAGGAGGCGUUUUGAGACUGUGAGGUAGUUGCUGGAAACUGCUCUUCUGACUCCAUGCCCAAAAGAGGCUGUGUGCAAGAAUGGAAUCCCUUGGGGAUUGGGACAUACUCUGUUGUGUCAUUAAGGGUUCUUUAGGUGAUAGAAUCAUACCUGAGAUCCUAGAGGUGGGUGUCAGUGAAAGACGGCCAGGCUCAUGACCUCACUUUCUCCCUUCAUCCUGGGACUUGCAGGGCUAUCUGGGAAAGGCAGAAACCAUGACAAAGGCAAGUCCACGGUGAAGCAGUUUUCUCACACCUCGGAUUAGCCUCUCACAGGUGCAGUUGAGGUUGAGACAGUGUCUCAGAGGCCGCCUGUUGUGAUGGGGAUGUCCAGUAGUGCUGUUGGGGGGCACAGUGGAUUCCUCAUGAAGGCAAAGAAAAAUCAAAGCUCGCCUGAGAGAACAAGACACCUUGUAUUUGAGUCUAAGCAAUGUACAAAGAUUCCUGUCAGAGGACCGUAAAGCUUCCUGCAAAGUGCAAACAACUUCAACUCCCAUAACGAGAGAACGACACCCAACCUGGAGCACAGCCAGCUUACCCAACGUCUCUUUUGCUCUCUGAAAUCUGUGGCAGCUACAUAAUCUGUAGCAAGAAACAGUCCCAUCCUGCAAUAUCUCAAUGAAAGAGCCCCUUCACAAUGAGAAACCUGUGCAGAUGAAAUGAAAGAGAGACUAGAUUACCAGGAAAAAGCCAAACACAGCUGCCUGCUUCUCAUAAUAAAGUAAUCAUCCAGCCCUCCGAAAGAAGCAGGAGAACAAGACUUUCCUUGUUGGCAGCUGAAAUGGGACUUUACAGUAUUAAAAUUAUCAAAGCUGCCCAGUCAUUAAAAUGCGACAGUGUUUAGAAGGAAGCACUUUUGCAAUGGAUUCCUAUGAGGGUCAUUCUCUGUGAAUUGGGAAGAGUUUAGUGUGCAAGUCCUUGAGCCAGACACAGGAAACCCUAGGCUGACUGGGAAAAUGGAAGUCAGGAAAAGAAGAGGUGAAGUUGUGGGACCCCAUCCACCCCUCACAAGAUUUUAUCCUCACUCCUAUCUGACCUUAUUGCUGCUCAAACUCUGUUUCCCAGAAUGAAAUCCCAAGACAAUGGAGGAGUGCCCCUUCAUGUUGUGAAACACCUGCUCAGCUGGGAACUGAAUUCGAGCUGAGAAGUUUGGGCUUAUAGAUGAUCAGUUUGCAGAGGCUUACCCUCAGCAUAUCAAGAUUGAGUCUUUGGAAAUAAAGCCAAGUGAAUAUAAAAGAGAAGUAGAAGAGCAAAUUGGGCAGAAACAUGUCAAAAGCAAAAAACAAACAACAACAAGAAAACCCAGGAUAACAGGCAGCAUUUCAGUUGGAAUUUCCAAAAUGAUGGCACUGAACAAUCUGAAGUCUGCUUUUAUUUAGUGCCCCUGGCCAGUCAGAAAAGAAUGCACAGCUGCCUCACCAUGACCACCUGGGUCCUGCAGUUCUGCCAGCAGCCAGUACGGGACACAUGAGCCUGCCUUUUCUGACCCUUGGAGGACCCGCGUGUUCAGCACAUGCCACCUGAGGAUGAGAGCUCCAUUCUCCUCAGCACAGACUCCAGCCACACUGCCUCACUCCAGUUGGAGGCAGAGAUAAGUAAAAACCUUCCUCUAACUGCUGAGGAUCAGGGACCCACUAGAAGGGUUUUGUGUGGAAAAUUAGAAACAAAAAAAUAUUCCUAUGGCUCUAGUGCACCCCAAGGACUUUCCCCACACCCAAGUGUGGUGACCACAAUGCCAGGUGCACGCCAUGACCUCGUGACACAAAUAUAGCAUUUGUCACACAAUUAUAACACCUACAAUGGAGAUACAUCUGUAAACAAAUAUAUCACCCAUAAUACAGUUGUGACACUUGUAAUACUAAUGUAACAACUGUAAUAUUGAUCUGACACCUGUAAUACAACUGUAAGACUCAUAACAGCAAUAAAACACUCAGAAUACCAAUAUAGCAUCUGAAAUACAAAUAUAAUCACCCUAAUACUGAUCAAACACCCUUAAUAGAACUCUAACUCUCAUAACACCAAUGUCGAUUCACAAUACAAAUGAAACAUCCAUAACACUGAUGUAACAUCUAUAGUGCUCUCUUGACACCUGUAAUACAACUGUAACACUCACAAUACCAACAUACAACUCAUAAUACCAAUAUGGCAUCUGCAAUACAAAUAUAACAACUUUCAUACUGAUGUAACAACUUUCAUAUUGAUCUAACACAUAUAAUACUAAUAUAGCACUCCUAAUACCACUGUAACAUUUGUAAUACAAAUAGAACAACAAUAACACUGAUGUAACACCCGUAAAUACUGAUGUGACACCUGUCAUACAGAUGUAAGACCUGUAAUACUGACAUAACAUUCCUACACUUACAAAGGCAGUUGGUUUCACAGCUUCCACUGAGCUGGAUUUCGCUCCUAUAAUGAAGUUUGAUGUCGUUGUCUCUGCUUUAGUGACAUGGUAUUGACAUGGUUGUUUUCAUUGAAAAGGAGUUUACUUCCCAAUAGUUUUAUACCUCUAGGAAACUUGAAAUAGCAGUUAGUAUACUUUAUCCUUUCUCCCAGAUUCCCGACUGGUUGUUGCUGUGCCAUAUUUGCAGCUUCAUUCAAAAUAUCCCACUGUGUUUUACAAAAAGUAGAAACACUCUCCCAAAUUACCAUCAUGUAACUACCAAAUCAGGAAAUACAGGGUUAGUAUUGGUAAUUGUAAUGGCAAAAUAUUUAUUUACAAGCACAAAUUUAAUCCUGUCACUUUCCUGAUUUAAUUUUGCUAAUGGUUUUGAGAGGUGAAGCCACCUGAACUUCCUGGGUUGAGUGGGGACUCAGAGAAGU
RNAcentral lists this long non-coding RNA (2864 nucleotides) under Homo sapiens (human). RNAcentral describes it as "HSALNT0409564". Lineage: Eukaryota; Metazoa; Chordata; Mammalia; Primates; Hominidae. The record is from RNAcentral.